RNAcentral lists this ribosomal RNA (460 nucleotides) under uncultured bacterium. RNAcentral describes it as "partial 16S ribosomal RNA". It matches the Rfam family "Bacterial small subunit ribosomal RNA", at positions 338 to 795 of the family's 1533-position model. The record is from RNAcentral.
CCUACGGGUGGCUGCAGUGAGGAAUAUUGGUCAAUGGGCGCGAGCCUGAACCAGCCAAGUAGCGUGAAGGAUGACUGCCCUACGGGUUGUAAACUUCUUUUAUAAAGGAAUAAAGUGAGGCACGUGUGCCUUUUUGUAUGUACUUUAUGAAUAAGGAUCGGCUAACUCCGUGCCAGCAGCCGCGGUAAUACGGAGGAUCCGAGCGUUAUCCGGAUUUAUUGGGUUUAAAGGGAGCGUAGAUGGGUUGUUAAGUCAGUUGUGAAAGUUUGCGGCUCAACCGUAAAAUUGCAAUUGAUACUGGCAGUCUUGAGUACAGUUGAGGUAGGCGGAAUUCGUGGUGUAGCGGUGAAAUGCUUAGAUAUCACGAAGAACUCCGAUUGCGAAGGCAGGUGUCCGGGGUGCAACUGACGCUGAGGCUCGAAAGUGCGGGUAUCAAACAGGAUUAGAUACCCUAGUAGUC